This 70-nucleotide transfer RNA is filed under the name Toxorhamphus novaeguineae. RNAcentral describes it as "tRNA-Glu". It matches the Rfam family "tRNA". Rfam says of the family: Transfer RNA (tRNA) molecules are approximately 80 nucleotides in length. The record is from RNAcentral. Lineage: Eukaryota; Metazoa; Chordata; Aves; Passeriformes; Melanocharitidae.
GUUCCUGUAGUUAAAUUUAUAACAAUGGCUUUUCAGGCCGUAGGUCUCGGAUAGAAGCCGGGCGGGAAUU